Molecule: ribosomal RNA, 59 nt
Filed under: Spinacia oleracea (spinach)
Lineage: Eukaryota; Viridiplantae; Streptophyta; Magnoliopsida; Caryophyllales; Amaranthaceae
Description: partial 25S ribosomal RNA
Source: RNAcentral
ACGCUGGGGUCCAGUCCGCCCCGAUGGGCGACUCAAAUUCGUAUAGUUAUUCGCCUCCU